Molecule: non-coding RNA, 284 nt
Organism: Arachis ipaensis
Lineage: Eukaryota; Viridiplantae; Streptophyta; Magnoliopsida; Fabales; Fabaceae
Source: RefSeq, a predicted model, not a curated record
UUCUGACCGUCGGGAGUGGUUCUGUGACCUCUGGGAGCACCGCCGAAGCUCUGAACUCAGCUUUUGCCACUUGAGACCCUGCUGCCACCGUGUUCCACUGCCGUUACCGUCACCGGUGUUUUUGCUCGCGAUUGUCACUUGGGGUUACUGACGGAGCCACUGCCGGGUUGAUAAGGAGCUGCGCCUGCUUCAUUUUGUUAUUUCAGAGUUAGAAUCCGGUUUGCUUAUGCCGCUUGUAGCUGUUUCUGCUCUUGAGAGAACAAGCCGAGCCGGGUUCUGAAUGC